AUACGUAGGUGGCGAGCGUUAUCCGGAAUUACUGGGUGUAAAGGGUGUGUAGGCGGGACUGCAAGUCAGAUGUGAAAAAGUCGGGCUCAACCCGGCUACUGCAUUUGAAACUGUGGUUCUUGGGGGUCGGAGAGGUAAACGGAAUUCCCAGGGUAGCGGUGAAAUGCGUAGAUAUUGGGAGGAACACCAGUGGCGAAGGCGGUUUACUGGACGACAACUGACGCUGAGACACGAAAGCGUGGGAGCAAACAGGAUUAGAUACCCUGGUAGUCCACGCCCUAAACGAUGAAUGCUAGGUGUAGGCCCUUUCGGGGGUCUGUGCCGCAGCUAACGCAAUAAGCAUUCCACCUGGGGAGUACGGCCGCAAGGUUGAAACUCAAAUGAAUUGACGGGG
Molecule: ribosomal RNA, 394 nt
Filed under: uncultured bacterium
Lineage: Bacteria
Description: partial 16S ribosomal RNA
Rfam family: Bacterial small subunit ribosomal RNA
Source: RNAcentral